UUGACCUCAAAUCAGGUAGGACUACCCGCUGAACUUAAGCAUAUCAAUAAGCGGAGGAAAAGAAACUAACAAGGAUUCCCCUAGUAACUGCGAGUGAAGCGGGAAGAGCUCAAAUUUUGAAUCUGGCAGUCCUUGGCUGUCCGAGUUGUAAUCUAGAGAAGUGUUUUCCGCGCUGGACCGU
Molecule: ribosomal RNA, 181 nt
Filed under: Butyriboletus primiregius
Lineage: Eukaryota; Fungi; Basidiomycota; Agaricomycetes; Boletales; Boletaceae
Description: partial 28S ribosomal RNA
Rfam family: Eukaryotic large subunit ribosomal RNA
Source: RNAcentral